RNAcentral lists this long non-coding RNA (2328 nucleotides) under Sus scrofa (pig). RNAcentral describes it as "lncRNA (ENSSSCG00045014618.1)". The record is from RNAcentral. Lineage: Eukaryota; Metazoa; Chordata; Mammalia; Artiodactyla; Suidae.
CUGAGCCCUCUCUUCUACACUCAGUCCUCAUACGUCAGUGAAAACUCUGCACUUGGAAGGCCCAUUAGUCUCAGAGAAGCUGGCAGGAAAUGAAUUUCCUUGUGCAUCUCCAGUCAAGGACAAUGCCAUUAAGGGUUGCAAAAACUACAAUAUCUCAGAGAAGAGAUCUUCAAAUUCUAUUACUGCUGCACCAUUAACACACUUUUAUUUCAUUUCCACCCAGGGCUGGAAACACAAGUAAAGAAGCACGAAAGUUAAGGUAGAAUAAAAUUGUGAUUAUGAAAAAAAAGAAACAAAUUCGAAAAGGAGAUGUCUAUAUUGAAUUAGCUGUAGAGUAGAUCUCUGAGUGUUUGCUAUUCUUUGAUGAUCACAGUUGAAUCUGUUUUUAAUUUGCAGUGGUAUUUGCUUUUUAAAAAUGCUAUUUGGGAGUUCCCGUUAUGGCUCAGUGGUGACGAACCUGACUAGCAUCCAUGAGGACUCAGGCUUGAUCCCUAGCUCAGUGGGUUAAGGAUCCCUAGCUCACAUUGAGAACUAUGUCUAGAUACUCACGUUGCAACAGAAGAAAGGGUGGGGGAAAAACUGUAAUUGUAAUGUAUACAUGUAAGGAUAACCUGACCCCCUUGCUGUACAGUGGGAAAAUAAAAAAAAAAAAAAAGGAUCCCUAGCUCAUGGGUUAAGGAUCCGGAGUUGCUGUGAGCUGUGAUGUGGCUUGGAUCUGGCAUUGCUGUGGCUGUGGUGUAGGCCAAAGGUUAUAGCUCUGACUCGACCCCUAGCCUGAGAACCUCCAUAUGCUGUGGGUGCGGCCCUAAAAAAAAAAAAGAAAAAAAAUUAGCUGAAAUAACUUGUCCAGGGUCAUACAAGGGCAAUUUUCAGACUUUAAAGUUAGUAAAUAAAAAUGCCACAUUAAACUUCUUUUGCUUCUCAGACGUAUAUCUUUGGAUUUUAUUUGGUUCUUCCUGAAAAUAUUCCAGUUGGUUCUCACUGAUUCUCAGGACAGGCUAUAUUUCAUCUCUUUUCACAGGAAAAUAUAACUCCCCUUAAGAACAGCUUUAAGUGUGUAUGGAUAGACACAGCCGAAAAUGUGGUUGAAGCUGGAGAAAUGAUUACUCAGUUUGACAGUGUGGCCAAUAAAAUAAAAAAGAGGGAAAGAACCAGAAAUACAGGGAGAGAGGAAGUCUUCAAUAUAUUAUAUAAGAUAAUAUAUUAUCUUGUAGAAAUAACCUACAUGUAGCUUUGGUAAAAACAGCUGUUUGCUUUUGAGAGAAAUCCACCUUCAAGAGUCUAGGGGCUGUGGGGAGUUCCCGUUGUGGCUCAGUGGGUUACAAACUCGACUAGUAUCCAUGAGGAUGCGGGUUUGAUCCCUGGCCUUGCUCAGUGGGUUUAGGACUUCGCGUUGCUGUGAGUUGUGGUGUCGGUCACGGAUGUGGCUCGAUCUGGCAUUGCUGUGGCUGUGGCAUAGGUUGGCAGCUGCAGCUCCAAUUGGACCCCUAGCCUGGGAACUUCCAUAUGCCUAGGGUCUGUGGAUGCAAAUGAUGGGAAAGUUUGUACAUCAGGAUGGGUGGUGGGAAUAUUUAUCCUUUUUUUUGCUGCUUAGUCUCUCACUCUUCCUUUGCGACCUCUUCUUGAUCCCUUAUAUGUCUUUUUGCCUCAGUCUGGAUUAUGAACAGCCUUACUGGUGACCCUCAAUGGUUGAAGCUCUUGGAAGUGGUGACACUUUUUCACACAGAACCUGACAAGAGAAAGGGAACCCUAAGCUUCAGUAAUGAGUACUGGGCAUAGCAAGGUCAAUCUUCUCUGCCAGGCUGCUGUGGUCCUUAUGCUAUUGUACACAUGUUUGUAGAAAGAGGUCAGAGGUACUGGAAUGACUACGGGAAAUACAUUGUUUCCACUUGGUAGUCUUUUGGUUUUGUUUUGUUUUUAUUUUAAGCUUUUCUCUCAUUCCCAUGUUACCAUCCUUAGUAGUCAAGGUACCUGCAUUGUGGGUAGAUUCUUCGUUGAAUCUAUCUUGGGAAAUUGAAUUUUCCUUUUCCCUGAAUAUGAAGCUUGUUUUGUAAAAGGUUUCAGCUUAUAUUUAAAGAAUUAUGCUGGAGUUCCUGUCAUGGCGCAGUGGUUAACGAAUCCAACUAGGAACCAUGAGGUUGCGGGUUUGGUUCCUGCCGUUGCUCAGUGGGUUAACCAUCCGGCGUUGCCGUGAGCUGUGGUGUAAGUUGCAGAUGCGGCUCGGAUCCUGCGUUGCUGUGGCUCUGGCGUAGGCCGGUGGCUGCAGCUUUGAUUCGACCCCUAGCCUGGGAACCUCCAUAUGCCGUGGGAGCGGCCCAAAGAAAUAGC